GGGCCCGCACAAGCGGUGGAGCAUGUGGUUUAAUUCGAUGAUACGCGAGGAACCUUACCAGGGCUUAAAUGUAACGGGACAGAUCUAGAGAUAGAUCCUUCUUCGGACUCAUUACAAGGUGCUGCAUGGUUGUCGUCAGCUCGUGCCGUGAGGUGUCAGGUUAAGUCCUAUAACGAGCGCAACCCCCAUCGUUAGUUGCCAACGAGUAAUGUCGGGAACUCUAACGAAACUGCCGGUGCAAACCGUGAGGAAGGUGGGGAUGACGUCAAAUCAUCACGGCCCUUACGUCCUGGCUACACACGUGCUACAAUGGUCGGUACAAAGGGCAGCGAAGCCGCGAGGUGGAGCG
This 349-nucleotide ribosomal RNA is filed under the name uncultured bacterium. RNAcentral describes it as "bacterial SSU rRNA". It matches the Rfam family "Bacterial small subunit ribosomal RNA", at positions 917 to 1269 of the family's 1533-position model. The record is from RNAcentral.